UGAUUUACGCCACACCCUUUUCUUGGCAUGCUGGGGGGAACCCACGCUUCCUCUCAUUCUGAAACUGAAAGCUUUAUUGCCCUUUGUAGCGGAGGUCUGGGAACCAGAAUACAACAAGGUGGAAAGUCAGAGGAAAUGAAAGAGAAAGUGAUCAGUCUUUCCAUGCUGCGACUCAAACGAGGACUCUUCUGAGGAAACGUGACUGUUGUUCCAUUGUUUACCAUGAAACGGCAACAGCUGAUUAUAAUCAACGGGAAGUAUCAUCUGGAUUUGUUUUAACAGCUGCAGAGGGACAAUAGUGAAGCUGACUGUGAUUCCACUGAUGACCUCUCCACUUCUCCUGCUGCAUUUAAACCCGGUCUCUGCAUUCACUCUUCGCCAGUUCGUCCAGUUUCCCUCAUUGUCCGGCGACUCUCCUUUUCCGCCUCGCCCAGCCCGUCGCUGUCAGUCUGCCUCCGGUCUCCCUCCCUGGAUUCCCUCACCUGCCCUGCCUCCCUGACUUCCCCCAGAAUCCAUCUCCCAGACCUGUUGGACUUUUGUGUUCUUUAGGAAUAAACAUUUGAAGUCUGCACUGUGGGUUCAGUCCGUCCUUUAAGCACUGCUUAACACGCCCAGCUGCAUAUCAUGCUGAAGGAUGGCAUUUCUCGUUGGUGUCUGACGCCAGAAGUCACUGACCGAGCAUGGGUUUUCGACGACUUCAGCGUGAGAUCAGGUUGCUAACAUUAACUCUGCUUGUUUCUCUGAUAUCAUAAGAUCCAGACGUCGAAUGACUAAAAUCCUUAAUCCAGCAUACAUACAUACAACAAAGUCUCCCAUGGGUAAUGCUUUGUUUAGCAAUAUUCUAUCAAAAAUAGUUAUGUUUGGACGUCCAUCAGCCCACAAGAGGAUGCAAGACACUUGGUUAAUGCUGCCCAGGAAUUUUCAGAGCUUUUUUGUUUGUUUGUUUGUUUGUUGAUUGUUUUGACAUUUUCUCACCUUUCUUGCUGUCUUCAUCACAGUCCCUUUGCACUCAUAUGCUUUGAUUUUUCUUCUUAACGCCAUAUUAAACCUAACAGGCUGAACCAGCAACAGACUGAACUUACGGCCACCUCUUGGUGCUCUACUUGUGAACAGAUUUCCCUGUACUUUCUCCUCUGGUUGGAAAACUAGAGCAGUGGUCAUAAAAAGUUCAUUGUUUAUACAACAGGCCUACACAUCAUCAAACUCUCUAUCUCACAGCUGAUGCAGUUUCCAUUAUAUAAAAGCUGUGUUGGAUUUUAUGGACAUGAUUUCAAACCAGACACUGUUUUAUUAUCAGUCUAUACAGUGUUGUGUUACAGUG
Epinephelus fuscoguttatus (brown-marbled grouper) is the source of this 1321-nucleotide long non-coding RNA. RefSeq lists it as uncharacterized. The record is from RefSeq and is a predicted model, not a curated record. NCBI's taxonomy places the organism in Eukaryota, Metazoa, Chordata, Actinopteri, Perciformes, Serranidae. The transcript is spliced from 3 exons.